RNAcentral lists this ribosomal RNA (253 nucleotides) under uncultured bacterium. RNAcentral's name for it is "partial 16S ribosomal RNA". It matches the Rfam family "Bacterial small subunit ribosomal RNA", at positions 524 to 776 of the family's 1533-position model. The record is from RNAcentral.
UACGUAGGCAGCGAGCGUUGUUCGGAAUUACUGGGCGUAAAGAGUGUGUAGGCGGUGCUCUAAGUUCGGUGUGAAAUCUCCUGGCUCAACUGGGAGGGUGCGCCGGAAACUGGAGUGCUUGAGCGUGGGAGAGGAAAGCGGAAUUCCUGGUGUAGCGGUGAAAUGCGUAGAUAUCAGGAGGAACACCUGUGGUGUAGACGGCUUUCUGGACCAUAGCUGACGCUGAGACACGAAAGCGUGAGUAGCAAACAGG